Molecule: long non-coding RNA, 1040 nt
Organism: Homo sapiens (human)
Lineage: Eukaryota; Metazoa; Chordata; Mammalia; Primates; Hominidae
Exons: 2
Source: RefSeq, a predicted model, not a curated record
GGGGUAAGGCUCAGGCAUGGCAGGCUGCAGUCCCGAGGCCUGCCCUGCGGGAAGGCAGCUAAGGCCUGGCGAGAAAUUGAGCGCAGCGCCGGUGGGCUAGCACUGCUGGGGGACCCAGUACACCCUCCGCAGCCGCUGGCCCGGGUGCUAAGCCCCUCAUUGCCCGAGGCCAGCAGGGCCGGCCGGCUGCUCUGAGUGCGGCCCGCCAAGCCCACGCCCACCCGGAACUCCAGCUGGCCCGCAAGAGCCGCGCGCAGCCCCGGUUCCCUCUCGCGCCUCUCCCUCCACACCUCCCCGCAAGCUGAGGGAGUGGGCUCCGGCCUUGGCCAGCCCAGAAAGGGGCUCCCACCGUGCAGCGGUGGGCUGAAGGGCUCCUCAAGUGCCACCAAAAUAAGAGCCCAGGCAGAGGAGGCGCUGAGAGCGAGCGAGGGAUGUGAGGACUGCCAGCACGCUGUCACCUCUCAUUAGGAUGAAACUGGUUCCAGACGUGAGAGUUUUAUUCCAAUAUGGCUUCCAGGAUCCCAGAGGACUCGACUUGUAGAGAGCAUCACUGGAGUCAGAAGGGCCGAGGUCCAGGGGCCAAGAACACACCUUGGUGCCAGAAGAAGUUCAUAAGUCUUGAAAUGCAGCAUCUCCUGAGGUAGAAUCAUUGGGCAGAACUCAUGAUAACAGAGCCUUCAAGAUGCGGAGUGAGGACAGGUGUGGGGGCUCACGCCUGUAAUCCCAACACUUUGGGAGGCCAAGGCGGUUGGAUCACCUAAGGUCAGGAGUUCAAGACCAGCCUGGCCAACAUGGUGAAAUCCCGUUUUUACUAAAAAUACGAAGAAUUAGCUGGAUGUGGUGACGCCUGCCUGUAAUCCCAGCUACUUGGGAGGCUGAGGCAGGAAAAUCACUUGAACCUGGGAGGUAGAGGUUGCAGUGAGCUGAGAUUGCACCACUGCACUUCAGCCUGGGCAACAGAGUGAGACUCCGUCUCAAAAAAACAAAAACAAAAACAAAAGAUGGUGAGCGAGUAAGAGCAAUAAAAAUAUUUGAAUGUG